RNAcentral lists this small nuclear RNA (164 nucleotides) under Carlito syrichta (Philippine tarsier). Its description in RNAcentral is "U1 spliceosomal RNA (ENSTSYG00000027715.1)". It matches the Rfam family "U1 spliceosomal RNA". Rfam says of the family: U1 is a small nuclear RNA (snRNA) component of the spliceosome (involved in pre-mRNA splicing). Its 5' end forms complementary base pairs with the 5' splice junction, thus defining the 5' donor site of an intron. Lineage: Eukaryota; Metazoa; Chordata; Mammalia; Primates; Tarsiidae. The record is from Rfam by way of RNAcentral.
AUACUUACCUGGCAGGGGAGAUAACAAGAUCACGAAGGUGGUUUUCCCAGGGCGAGGCUUAUCCAUUGCACUCUGGAUGUGCUGACCCCUGCGAUUUCCCCAAAUGUGGGAAACUCGACUGCAUAAUUUGUGGUAGUGGGGGACUGCAUUUGUGCUUCCCCCUG